AACUCACACCCACCAACGCCAGGGUAUUACAAGCCCUAGCUUAAAACCCAAAGGACUUGACGGUGUCCCAUCCACCUAGAGGAGCCUGUUCCAUAAUCGAUAAUCCCCGCUAUACCUAACCACCCCUCGCCAAUCAGUCUGUAUACCUCCGUCGUAAGCUUACCAUAUGAAUGCUUACAGUAAGUUUAAUGGCCACAAGCACCAAUACGUCAGGUCAAGGUGCAGCUUAUGAAGUGGCGGACAAUGGGCUACAAUUUCUAUACUAGAACAAACGAAAUGCUGCAUGAAACACAGCCACGAAGGCGGAUUUAGUAGUAAAAAGAAAAUAGUGUGUUCUUUUUAACUAGGCCCUGGGACGUGU
RNAcentral lists this ribosomal RNA (361 nucleotides) under Quasipaa spinosa (Chinese spiny frog). RNAcentral's name for it is "partial 12S ribosomal RNA". It matches the Rfam family "Bacterial small subunit ribosomal RNA", at positions 854 to 1384 of the family's 1533-position model. Lineage: Eukaryota; Metazoa; Chordata; Amphibia; Anura; Dicroglossidae. The record is from RNAcentral.